GAUCAUGCUCAGGACGAACGCUGGCGGCGUGCCUAACACAUGCAAGUCGAGCGGGGAUUAUCGAAUGAAGUUUUCGGAUGGAUUUUGGUAAUUCUAGCGGCGGACGGGUGAGUAACGCGUGAGCAACCUGCCUUUCACAGGGGGGAUAACGCAUCGAAAGGUGCACUAAUACCGCAUGAGACCACGCUCCCGACAUGAGAGAGGGGUCAAAGGAGCAAUCCGGUGAGAGAUGGG
Molecule: ribosomal RNA, 234 nt
Filed under: uncultured bacterium
Lineage: Bacteria
Description: partial 16S ribosomal RNA
Rfam family: Bacterial small subunit ribosomal RNA
Source: RNAcentral